RNAcentral lists this ribosomal RNA (387 nucleotides) under uncultured bacterium. Its description in RNAcentral is "partial 16S ribosomal RNA". It matches the Rfam family "Bacterial small subunit ribosomal RNA", at positions 338 to 722 of the family's 1533-position model. The record is from RNAcentral.
CCUACGGGUGGCUGCAGUGAGGAAUAUUGGUCAAUGGACGAGAGUCUGAACCAGCCAAGCCGCGUGAGGGAGGACUGCUCUAUGGGUUGUAAACUUCUUUUAUAUGGGAAUAAAACGUUCCACGUGUGGGAUUUUGUAUGUACCAUACGAAUAAGGAUCGGCUAACUCCGUGCCAGCAGCCGCGGUAAUACGGAGGAUCCGAGCGUUAUCCGGAUUUAUUGGGUUUAAAGGGAGCGUAGGUGGGUUGUUAAGUCAGUUGUGAAAGUCCGCGGCUCAACCGUAGGUCUGCCGUUGAAACUGGCAGUCUAGAGUGCAGUAGAGGUGGGUGGAAUUCGUGGUGUAGCGGUGAAAUGCGUAGAUAUCACGAAGAACUCCGAUGGCGAAGGC